CAGCUCGUGUCGUGAGAUGUUGGGUUAAGUCCCGCAACGAGCGCAACCCUUGUCAUUAGUUGCCACGCAAGAGCACUCUAAUGAGACUGCCGGUGACAAACCGGAGGAAGGUGGGGAUGACGUCAAAUCAUCAUGCCCCUUAUGACCUGGGCUACACACGUGCUACAAUGGUUGGUACAACGAGUCGCAAGCCGGUGACGGCAAGCUAAUCUCUUAAAGCCAAUCUCAGUUCGGAUUGUAGGCUGCAACUCGCCUACAUGAAGUCGGAAUCGCUAGUAAUCGCGGAUCAGCACGCCGCGGUGAAUACGUUCCCGGGCCUUGUACACACCGCCCGUCACACCACGAGAGUUUGUAACACCCGAAGUCGGUGAGGUAACCUUUUAGGAGCCAGCCGCCUAAGGUGGGAUAGAUGAUUGGGGUGAAGUCGUAACAAGGUAGCCGUAUCGGAAGGUGCGGCUGGAUCACCUCCUUUCUAAGGA
This 479-nucleotide ribosomal RNA is filed under the name Bacteroides stercoris. RNAcentral describes it as "bacterial SSU rRNA". It matches the Rfam family "Bacterial small subunit ribosomal RNA", at positions 1056 to 1533 of the family's 1533-position model. The record is from RNAcentral. Lineage: Bacteria; Pseudomonadati; Bacteroidota; Bacteroidia; Bacteroidales; Bacteroidaceae.